GGAGAAACCAACCAAACUUUUUCUGAAAAUCACAACCAGUGGGUAACCUGGCUAUGCAAAGACCAAGUCAUCCGAAUGCAAUUUAUAGGCAUGCACUCUACCCACAGUUUCAAAAUGUUCCUCAACCCUCUCCAAUUAUCCAUAAUUCAACUUUUGAAGAGAAGGUUUUAUAAGCAUAGAAAGGGCUAGAAAAUAACAUCCAAAUCCUUCACUCCC
Molecule: long non-coding RNA, 216 nt
Filed under: Elaeis guineensis (African oil palm)
Lineage: Eukaryota; Viridiplantae; Streptophyta; Magnoliopsida; Arecales; Arecaceae
Description: long non-coding RNA (EGUI_LNC063697)
Source: RNAcentral